GGCUCAGAUUGAACGCUGGCGGCAGGCCUAACACAUGSMAGUCGAGCGGUAGAGAGAAGCUUGCUUCUCUUGAGAGCGGCGGACGGGUGAGUAAUACCUAGGAAUCUGCCUGAUAGUGGGGGAUAACGUUCGGAAACGGACGCUAAUACCGCAUACGUCCUACGGGAGAAAGCAGGGGACCUUCGGGCCUUGCGCUAUCAGAUGAGCCUAGGUCGGAUUAGCUAGUUGGUGAGGUAAUGGCUCACCAAGGCUACGAUCCGUAACUGGUCUGAGAGGAUGAUCAGUCACACUGGAACUGAGACACGGUCCAGACUCCUACGGGAGGCAGCAGUGGGGAAUAUUGGACAAUGGGCGAAAGCCUGAUCCAGCCAUGCCGCGUGUGUGAAGAAGGUCUUCGGAUUGUAAAGCACUUUAAGUUGGGAGGAAGGGCAUUAACCUAAUACGUUGGUGUCUUGACGUUACCGACAGAAUAAGCACCGGCUAACUCUGUGCC
This 493-nucleotide ribosomal RNA is filed under the name Pseudomonas fragi. RNAcentral's name for it is "bacterial SSU rRNA". The record is from RNAcentral. Lineage: Bacteria; Pseudomonadati; Pseudomonadota; Gammaproteobacteria; Pseudomonadales; Pseudomonadaceae.